RNAcentral lists this small nucleolar RNA (129 nucleotides) under Neotoma lepida (desert woodrat). RNAcentral describes it as "Small nucleolar RNA SNORA40". It matches the Rfam family "Small nucleolar RNA SNORA40". From Rfam's summary of the family: The snoRNA ACA 40 belongs to the H/ACA family of snoRNAs and guides the pseudouridylation of 28S rRNA subunit at position U4565. Lineage: Eukaryota; Metazoa; Chordata; Mammalia; Rodentia; Cricetidae. The record is from Rfam by way of RNAcentral.
AACAGUUGGGAGUAUCUGUGUUAAGCUGGUUAAAAAAAAAGAUACAGAGUCAGUUGCAAAAUCAAUGCUCUUUUUCAACCCAGAACUCAUGAUUAGGUGUGACUUCUGAUGCACAUAAGAAGGACCACG